AGUGAACGCUGGCGGUAGGCCUAACACAUGCAAGUCGAACGGCAGCACAGUAAGAGCUUGCUCUUACGGGUGGCGAGUGGCGGACGGGUGAGGAAUACAUCGGAAUCUACUUUUUCGUGGGGGAUAACGUAGGGAAACUUACGCUAAUACCGCAUACGACCUACGGGUGAAAGCAGGGGAUCUUCGGACCUUGCGCGAUUGAAUGAGCCGAUGUCGGAUUAGCUAGUUGGCGGGGUAAAGGCCCACCAAGGCGACGAUCCGUAGCUGGUCUGAGAGGAUGAUCAGGCAAAACUGAACUGAGACACGGUCCAGACUCCUACGGGAGGCAGCAGUGGGGAAUAUUGGACAAUGGGCGCAAGCCUGAUCCAGCCAUACCGCGUGGGUGAAGAAGGCCUUCGGGUUGUAAAGCCCUUUUGUUGGGAAAGAAAAGCAGCAGGUUAAUACCCCGCUGUUCUGACGGUACCCAAAGAAUAAGCACCGGCUAACUUCGUG
Molecule: ribosomal RNA, 492 nt
Filed under: uncultured bacterium
Lineage: Bacteria
Description: partial 16S ribosomal RNA
Rfam family: Bacterial small subunit ribosomal RNA
Source: RNAcentral